AGUGAACGCUGGCGGUAGGCCUAACACAUGCAAGUCGAACGGCAGCACAGUAAGAGCUUGCUCUUACGGGUGGCGAGUGGCGGACGGGUGAGGAAUACAUCGGAAUCUACUUUUUCGUGGGGGAUAACGUAGGGAAACUUACGCUAAUACCGCAUACGACCUACGGGUGAAAGCAGGGGAUCUUCGGACCUUGCGCGAUUGAAUGAGCCGAUGUCGGAUUAGCUAGUUGGCGGGGUAAAGGCCCACCAAGGCGACGAUCCGUAGCUGGUCUGAGAGGAUGAUCGGCCACACUGGAAGUGAGACACGGUCAAGAGGCCUACGAGAGGCAGCAGUGGGGAAUAGUAGACAAUGGGCGGGAGCCUGAUCCAGCCAUACCGCGUGGGUGAAGGAGGCCUUCGGGUUGUAAAGCCGGUUUGUUGGGAAAGAAAAGCAGCAGGUUAAUACCCCGCUGUUCUGACGGUACCCAAAGAAUAAGCACCGGCUAACUUCGUG
Molecule: ribosomal RNA, 492 nt
Filed under: uncultured bacterium
Lineage: Bacteria
Description: partial 16S ribosomal RNA
Rfam family: Bacterial small subunit ribosomal RNA
Source: RNAcentral